UGGGAGUCCUCCUUACAGGUACACAGU
RNAcentral lists this non-coding RNA (27 nucleotides) under Mus musculus (house mouse). The record is from RNAcentral. Lineage: Eukaryota; Metazoa; Chordata; Mammalia; Rodentia; Muridae.